Molecule: unclassified non-coding RNA, 220 nt
Filed under: rhizosphere metagenome
Description: partial ribosomal RNA internal transcribed spacer region
Source: RNAcentral
GUUGGUGAACCAGCGGAGGGAUCAUUACAGAGUUCUAAAAAGACUCCCAAACCAUUGUGAACAUACCCGUCAGCGUUGCUUCGGCGGGCGUCCCCUCCCUGGGGACGCUGCCCUUCGGGGUGCCCGCCGGUGGCUUACGAAACUCUUUUGUAUUUUAGUGGCCUCUCUGAGAAAACAAACAAAUAAGUUAAAACUUUCAACAACGGAUCUCUUGGUUCUG